GAACUAAGGACGGAGGCCUCAUCCUUUUGCAGUUAAUGAGAAAACAAAUAGAAUCCAAGUCUGGAGAUGGAAGAGGAGACUGCCUCUACAAAUCAUCUUUCUCUGCAGAAAUGUCUGUCUGAGAAAGUGAUGAGAGAGAUACAGUUCUAAGUGAAGGAGAUCCUGAUACUUUAUGGAAAUCUGUAAAGAUUCUGGGAACCCAUCAAAGGUAAUAUCAACUACGGAUUACGAGGU
RNAcentral lists this long non-coding RNA (234 nucleotides) under Suricata suricatta (meerkat). RNAcentral describes it as "lncRNA (ENSSSUG00005002741.1)". Lineage: Eukaryota; Metazoa; Chordata; Mammalia; Carnivora; Herpestidae. The record is from RNAcentral.